This 893-nucleotide ribosomal RNA is filed under the name uncultured marine bacterium. Its description in RNAcentral is "bacterial SSU rRNA". It matches the Rfam family "Bacterial small subunit ribosomal RNA", at positions 57 to 1000 of the family's 1533-position model. The record is from RNAcentral.
GCAGUCGAACGAAGUAGCAAUACUUAGUGGCAGACGGGUGAGUAACAUGUGGGUAUCUACCCUUUGGCCUGGAAUAACACGAGGAAACUUGUGCUAAUACCGGAUAAGUCUUUACAGAGAAAGCUUUAUGCACCAUUGGAUGAGCCCGCACUUGAUUAGUUUGUUGGUAGGGUAAUGGCCUACCAAGACUGUGAUCAAUAGCUGAUUUGAGAGGAUGAUCAGCCACAUUGGGACUGAGACACGGCCCAAACUCCUACGGGAGGCAGCAGUGGGGAAUCUUGCACAAUGGAGGAAACUCUGAUGCAGCGAUGCCGCGUGAGUGAAGAAGGCCCUUGGGUUGUAAAGCUCUUUCGUCGGGGAAGAAAAUGACUGUACCCGAAUAAGAAGGUCCGGCUAACUUCGUGCCAGCAGCCGCGGUAAUACGAAGGGACCUAGCGUAGUUCGGAAUUACUGGGCUUAAAGAGUUCGUAGGUGGUUGAAAAAGUUGGUGGUGAAAUCCCAGAGCUUAACUCUGGAACUGCCAUCAAAACUUUUCAGCUAGAGUUUGAUAGAGGAAAGCAGAAUUUCUAGUGUAGAGGUGAAAUUCGUAGAUAUUAGAAAGAAUACCAAUUGCGAAGGCAGCUUUCUGGAUCAUUACUGACACUGAGGAACGAAAGCAUGGGUAGCGAAGAGGAUUAGAUACCCUCGUAGUCCAUGCCGUAAACGAUGUGUGUUAGACGUUGGAAAUUUAUUUUCAGUGUCGCAGCGAAAGCGAUAAACACACCGCCUGGGGAGUACGACCGCAAGGUUAAAACUCAAAUGAAUUGACGGGGACCCGCACAAGUAGUGGAGCAUGUGGUCUAAUUCGAAGAUACGCGCAGAAACUUACAACACUUGACAUGUUCGUCGCGACU